UACCGAGUUUACAACUCCCAAACCCAAUGUGAACGUUACCAAACUGUUGCCUCGGCGGGAUCUCUGCCCCGGGUGCGUCGCAGCCCCGGACCAAGGCGCCCGCCGGAGGACCAACCAAAACUCUUAUUGUAUACCCCCUCGCGGGUUUUUUUAUAAUCUGAGCCUUCUCGGCGCCUCUCGUAGGCGUUUCGAAAAUGAAUCAAAACUUUCAACAACGGAUCUCUUGGUUCUGGCAUCGAUGAAGAACGCAGCGAAAUGCGAUAAGUAAUGUGAAUUGCAGAAUUCAGUGAAUCAUCGAAUCUUUGAACGCACAUUGCGCCCGCCAGUAUUCUGGCGGGCAUGCCUGUCCGAGCGUCAUUUCAACCCUCGAACCCCUCCGGGGGGUCGGCGUUGGGGAUCGGCCCUCCCUUAGCGGGUGGCCGUCUCCGAAAUACAGUGGCGGUCUCGCCGCAGCCUCUCCUGCGCAGUAGUUUGCACACUCGCAUCGGGAGCGCGGCGCGUCCACAGCCGUUAAACACCCAACUUCUGAAAUGUUGACCUCGGAUCAGGUAGGAAUACCCGCUGAACUUAAGCAUAUCAAUAAGCGGAGGAAAAGAAACCAACAGGGAUUGCNNCAGUAACGGCGAGUGAAGCGGCAACAGCUCAAAUUUGAAAUCUGGUCNNUAGGGCNCGAGUUGUAAUUUGUAGAGGAUGCUUUUGGUGAGGUGCCGNCNNAGUUCUCCUGGAACGGGACGCCACAGAGGGUGAGAGCCCCUGGCUGGCAGCCUCUGUAAAGCUCCUUCGACGAGUCGAGUAGUUUGGGAAUGCUGCUCAAAAUGGGAGGUAUAUGUCUUUCUAAAGCUAAAUAUUGGNCCAGAGANCNGAUAGCGNAUAAGUAGAGUGAUCGAAAGAUGAAAAGCAUCUUUGAAAAGAGG
RNAcentral lists this ribosomal RNA (914 nucleotides) under fungal endophyte. RNAcentral's name for it is "eukaryotic LSU rRNA". The stretch from base 535 to 914 matches the Rfam family "Eukaryotic large subunit ribosomal RNA", at positions 1 to 387 of the family's 3401-position model. Lineage: Eukaryota; Fungi. The record is from RNAcentral.